UUUAUGGAGAGUUUGAUCCUGGCUCAGGAUGAACGCUGGCGGCGUGCCUAAUACAUGCAAGUCGAGCGAACAGACGAGGAGCUUGCUCCUCUGACGUUAGCGGCGGACGGGUGAGUAACACGUGGAUAACCUACCUAUAAGACUGGGAUAACUUCGGGAAACCGGAGCUAAUACCGGAUAAUAUAUUGAACCGCAUGGUUCAAUAGUGAAAGACGGUUUUGCUGUCACUUAUAGAUGGAUCCGCGCCGCAUUAGCUAGUUGGUAAGGUAACGGCUUACCAAGGCA
Molecule: ribosomal RNA, 285 nt
Filed under: Staphylococcus epidermidis
Lineage: Bacteria; Bacillati; Bacillota; Bacilli; Caryophanales; Staphylococcaceae
Description: partial 16S ribosomal RNA
Rfam family: Bacterial small subunit ribosomal RNA
Source: RNAcentral